GAUGAACGCUGGCGGCGUGCUUAAUACAUGCAAGUCGAGCGAACAGACGAGGAUCUUGCUCCUCUGACGUUAGCGGCGGACGUGUGAGUAACACGUGGAUAACCUACCUAUGAGACUGGUAUAACUAAGGGAAACCGGUGCCAAUACCGGAUAAUAUAUUGAACCGCAUGGUUGAAUAGUUAAAGACGGUUUUGCUGGAACUUAUAGAUGGAUCCGCGCCGCAUUAGCUAGUUGGUAAGGUAACGGCUUACCAAGGCAACGAUGCGUAGCCGACCUGAGAGGGUGAUCGGCCACACUGGAACUGAGACACGGUCCUGACUCCUACGGGAGGCAGAAGUAGGGAAUCUUCGGAAAAGGGCGAAAGACUGACGGAGCAGCGGCGCGUGAGUGAUGAAGGUCUUCGGGUCGUAAAACUCUGUUAUUAGGGAAAACCGAAUGUGUAAGUAACGAUGCACGUCUUGACGGUACCUAAUCAGGAAGCCCCGGCUAACUACGUG
RNAcentral lists this ribosomal RNA (497 nucleotides) under uncultured bacterium. RNAcentral describes it as "partial 16S ribosomal RNA". It matches the Rfam family "Bacterial small subunit ribosomal RNA", at positions 28 to 507 of the family's 1533-position model. The record is from RNAcentral.